UGGGGAAUAUUGCACAAUGGGCGCAAGCCUGAUGCAGCAACGCCGCGUGAACGAUGAAGGUCUUCGGAUCGUAAAGUUCUGUUGCAGGGGAAGAUAAUGACGGUACCCUGUGAGGAAGCCCCGGCUAACUACGUGCCAGCAGCCGCGGUAAUACGUAGGGGGCUAGCGUUAUGCGGAUUUACUGGGCGUAAAGGGUGCGUAGGUGGUCUUUCAAGUCGGUGGUUAAAGGCUACGGCUCAACCGUAGUUAGCCUCCGAAACUGGAAGACUUGAGUGCAGGAGAGGAAAGUGGAAUUCCCAGUGUAGCGGUGAAAUGCGUAGAUAUUGGGAGGAACACCAGUAGCGAAGGCGGCUUUCUGGACUGCAACUGACACUGAGGCACGAAAGCGUGGGUAGCAAACAGG
RNAcentral lists this ribosomal RNA (403 nucleotides) under Verrucomicrobiota bacterium. Its description in RNAcentral is "Verrucomicrobia bacterium partial 16S ribosomal RNA". It matches the Rfam family "Bacterial small subunit ribosomal RNA", at positions 355 to 776 of the family's 1533-position model. Lineage: Bacteria; Pseudomonadati; Verrucomicrobiota. The record is from RNAcentral.